AGAGUUUGAUCAUGGCUCAGAUUGAACGCUGGCGGCAUGCCUAACACAUGCAAGUCGAACGGUAACGGGCCUUCGGGCGCCGACGAGUGGCGGACGGGUGAGUAACGCGUAGGAAUCUGCCCACGGGUGGGGGACAACCCGGCGAAAGCCGGGCUAAUACCGCAUAAGCCCUUCGGGGGAAAGCGGGGGGCCUUCGGGCCUCGCGCCGGUGGAUGAGCCUGCGUGGGAUUAGCUAGUUGGCGGGGUAAGGGCCCGCCAAGGCGACGAUCCCUAGCCGGCCUGAGAGGGUGGCCGGCCACACCGGGACUGAGACACGGCCCGGACUCCUACGGGAGGCAGCAGUGGGGAAUAUUGGGCAAUGGGCGCAAGCCUGACCCAGCAAUGCCGCGUGUGUGAAGAAGGCCUGCGGGUUGUAAAGCACUUUGAGCGGGGAGGAAGGCCCGGGGGCCAACACCCUUGCGGGCUUGACGUUACCCGCAGAACAAGCACCGGCUAACUCCGUGCCAGCAGCCGCGGUAAUACGGAGGGUGCGAGCGUUAAUCGGAAUUACUGGGCGUAAAGCGUGCGUAGGCGGCGCGGUCAGUCUCGCGUGAAAGCCCCGGGCUCAACCUGGGAACUGCGCGGGAUACUGCCGUGCUGGAGUGCGGGAGAGGGCGGUGGAAUUUCCGGUGUAGCAGUGAAAUGCGUAGAGAUCGGAAGGAACACCAGUGGCGAAGGCGGCCGCCUGGACCGACACUGACGCUGAGGCACGAAAGCGUGGGGAGCAAACAGGAUUAGAUACCCUGGUAGUCCACGCCGUAAACGAUGCGGACUAGCCGUCGGGGGCAAUCGGGCCCUCGGUGGCGCAGCUAACGCGGUAAGUCCGCCGCCUGGGGAGUACGGCCGCAAGGUUAAAACUCAAAUGAAUUGACGGGGGCCCGCACAAGCGGUGGAGCAUGUGGUUUAAUUCGAUGCAACGCGAAGAACCUUACCUGGCCUUGACAUCCUAAGAAUCCGGCAGAGAUGCUGGAGUGCCUUCGGGAGCUUAGAGACAGGUGCUGCAUGGCUGUCGUCAGCUCGUGUCGUGAGAUGUUGGGUUAAGUCCCGUAACGAGCGCAACCCUUGCCCUCAGUUGCCAGCGCGUCAUGGCGGGGACUCUGGGGGGACCGCCGGUGAUAAACCGGAGGAAGGUGGGGAUGACGUCAAGUCAUCAUGGCCCUUAUGGCCAGGGCUACACACGUGCUACAAUGGCCGGUACAGAGGGCGGCGAUACCGCAAGGUGGAGCAAAUCCCAGAAAGCCGGUCCUAGUCCGGAUCGCGGUCUGCAACUCGACCGCGUGAAGUCGGAAUCGCUAGUAAUCGCGGAUCAGAAUGCCGCGGUGAAUACGUUCCCGGGCCUUGUACACACCGCCCGUCACACCAUGGGAGCGGGUUGCACCAGAAGCAGGUAGUCUAACCGCAAGGGGGGCGCUUGCCACGGUGUGGUUCGUGACUGGGGUGAAGUCGUAACAAGGUA
This 1495-nucleotide ribosomal RNA is filed under the name metagenome. RNAcentral's name for it is "bacterial SSU rRNA". It matches the Rfam family "Bacterial small subunit ribosomal RNA". The record is from RNAcentral.